AUUCAGUGACCGACCUUGUUCACAGCUGGUUGUGCAGCCUGAACAAAGACCCACCUGACAUCUAAAUUUGUGGAAAACCUCUGAACUCGGCACCAUCACWUCAACUGAAAUUGUUUCCUUAACAUUUUUUUAGGGUGCCUGUGUUCCUUAACUCUAUUUUGGAUGGGAUUUUCGUUCUCUUCAUUGCCAGCUACAGAAAUUGAUGAUUUUUUAAGGCCUUGCAUUCCGGUUUUUGUGUGGCAGUAAGGUAGAAACCAAGGCAGUUGGAAAGCUGGGCUGCUCUCUGCAGGGCAAGGAAGAGAGAACAUGCAUCAUUUUGACAGUGCUGAUAAUUUGG
Molecule: long non-coding RNA, 337 nt
Organism: Nothoprocta perdicaria
Lineage: Eukaryota; Metazoa; Chordata; Aves; Tinamiformes; Tinamidae
Exons: 3
Source: RefSeq, a predicted model, not a curated record